Molecule: small RNA, 341 nt
Filed under: Histoplasma capsulatum
Lineage: Eukaryota; Fungi; Ascomycota; Eurotiomycetes; Onygenales; Ajellomycetaceae
Also listed under: 1 other name
Description: hypothetical RNA
Source: RNAcentral
AAAGGGGACCUUAACUUCUUACGCAUUCCCCACUGUGGCACGAUUGGGACUUCUCUUAGCACGCGGCGCCCUGAGCAAUUCAACUCCCGAAUGACAGCGCCACUGGAAGCGAUGACCUUAGUCUCAGUUGGCUCAUGAGAGAGCCUAGCACCCCAAACCUGCCUAUAUACGCGAUGGCUCCGCGCUCCGCGCUCUUCUGGGGUGGUCUUACCGGGAACAUACACUUCUGGUUGAAGAGCCUUUGGCAGUGUCAUGCCAUUGUCAAGACAUUGACAUCAUCAUUCGAUCCCUCGAUUGUUGCCUCUUCUUUUCAAGCAGGACGGGCCAGUAAGCAGCCGUCU